AUUGAACGCUGGCGGCAUGCCUUACACAUGCAAGUCGAACGGUAACAGCACUUCGGUGGCUGACGAGUGGCGAACGGGUGAGUAAUACAUCGGAACGUGCCCGAGAGUGGGGGAUAACGCAGCGAAAGCUGUGCUAAUACCGCAUACGAUCUACGGAUGAAAGCAGGGGACCGCAAGGCCUUGCGCUCAUGGAGCGGCCGAUGGCAGAUUAGGUAGUUGGUGGGAUAAAAGCUUACCAAGCCGACGAUCUGUAGCUGGUCUGAGAGGACGACCAGCCACACUGGGACUGAGACACGGCCCAGACUCCUACGGGAGGCAGCAGUGGGGAAUUUUGGACAAUGGGCGAAAGCCUGAUCCAGCCAUGCCGCGUGCAGGAUGAAGGCCUUCGGUUGUAAACUGCUUUGUACGGAACGAAAGGUACGUUUCUAAUUAAAGAAGGACUCAUGACGGUACCGUAAGGAAUAAGCACCGGCUAACUAACGUGCCAGC
This 489-nucleotide ribosomal RNA is filed under the name uncultured bacterium. Its description in RNAcentral is "bacterial SSU rRNA". It matches the Rfam family "Bacterial small subunit ribosomal RNA", at positions 30 to 512 of the family's 1533-position model. The record is from RNAcentral.